GCGUGAGUGGAAUUUGGGCGUGAACAGGUCUCAAACUAGAGACUGCGUUGGCAACCUUGGAUGCACGGGGGCAGGGUGGAGGGGUGUUUAAAGACAUUGAUGCCCUGCCCCAGACCAAUUAAACCAGACCCUCUAGGGCUGGUGGGGUUCAGGCAUCCGUAUUUUUUUUUUUAAACAAUUCCCAGUGACUUUAAUGCGCCGCUAGGAUUGAGAACUCCUAGUAGAAGAAUCCAGGGACUCAGAUUCAAGGAAACCCAGAAAUUGAAGAAACCACUGUUGAAUUUCUCAUAUUUUAUUGUUAUGUCUUACAACUCAGCAUUUUUCAGGUCCAGUCUAAAAUUUAAAAAGAUGAACAAUUGCUUUGUGUUUUUCCUGCUCAUCUGGCUUUCCCAGUCCUUUAUUAAGGCACUUAUUUAAUGUGUGAUUGGGGUUAUAUUGAAACAAGACCGAGGGACAUGGCGCUGGCUGGCAUUAACCAAGAUGUUUGAUCACACGCUGUCAGACGCAUUGAUUCUGCACUAAGGCAUAGCAUCAAACCACACAGAGAUGGCCCGCUCUGAAGGCGCUCUUCACUCUACCUUGUAAGACAAUUACCUUGAACCCAGCAGAAGACACCAGGGACGACCAGGGCCAUCCACAAUCACCCAGUCCUGCCAAACCUCUUUUGCAGACAGCC
Molecule: long non-coding RNA, 676 nt
Filed under: Equus asinus (donkey)
Lineage: Eukaryota; Metazoa; Chordata; Mammalia; Perissodactyla; Equidae
Description: lncRNA (ENSEASG00005034162.1)
Source: RNAcentral